This 467-nucleotide ribosomal RNA is filed under the name Trichoderma asperellum. RNAcentral's name for it is "partial large subunit ribosomal RNA". It matches the Rfam family "Eukaryotic large subunit ribosomal RNA", at positions 138 to 626 of the family's 3401-position model. Lineage: Eukaryota; Fungi; Ascomycota; Sordariomycetes; Hypocreales; Hypocreaceae. The record is from RNAcentral.
CCGAGUUGUAAUUUGUAGAGGAUGCUUUUGGUGAGGUGCCGCCCGAGUUCCCUGGAACGGGACGCCACAGAGGGUGAGAGCCCCGUCUGGCUGGCCACCGAGCCUCUGUAAAGCUCCUUCGACGAGUCGAGUAGUUUGGGAAUGCUGCUCAAAAUGGGAGGUAUAUGUCUUCUAAAGCUAAAUAUUGGCCAGAGACCGAUAGCGCACAAGUAGAGUGAUCGAAAGAUGAAAAGCACCUUGAAAAGAGGGUUAAACAGUACGUGAAAUUGUUGAAAGGGAAGCGCUUGUGACCAGACUUGGGCGCGGCGGAUCAUCCGGGGUUCUCUCCGGUGCACUUCGCCGCGUUCAGGCCAGCAUCAGUUCGUCGCGGGGGAAAAAGGCUUCGGGAACGUGGCUCCUCCGGGAGUGUUAUAGCCCGUUGCAUAAUACCCUGCGGUGGACUGAGGACCGCGCAUCUGCAAGGAUGC